Molecule: transfer RNA, 84 nt
Filed under: Lentisphaerae bacterium GWF2_57_35
Lineage: Bacteria; Pseudomonadati; Lentisphaerota
Also listed under: 1 other name
Description: tRNA-Leu
Rfam family: tRNA
About the family: Transfer RNA (tRNA) molecules are approximately 80 nucleotides in length. Their secondary structure includes four short double-helical elements and three loops (D, anti-codon, and T loops). Further hydrogen bonds mediate the characteristic L-shaped molecular structure. tRNAs have two regions of fundamental functional importance: the anti-codon, which is responsible for specific mRNA codon recognition, and the 3' end, to which the tRNAs corresponding amino acid is attached (by aminoacyl-tRNA synthetases). tRNAs cope with the degeneracy of the genetic code in two manners: having more than one tRNA (with a specific anti-codon) for a particular amino acid; and 'wobble' base-pairing, i.e. permitting non-standard base-pairing at the 3rd anti-codon position.
Source: RNAcentral
GCUCGGGUGGUGGAAUGGCAGACACGCAUGUUUGAGGGGCAUGUGCCGCAAGGCGUGGGGGUUCGACUCCCCCCCCGAGCACCA